This 73-nucleotide transfer RNA is filed under the name Chloroflexota bacterium. Its description in RNAcentral is "Chloroflexi bacterium (groundwater metagenome) tRNA-Glu". It matches the Rfam family "tRNA". From Rfam's summary of the family: Transfer RNA (tRNA) molecules are approximately 80 nucleotides in length. The record is from RNAcentral. Lineage: Bacteria; Bacillati; Chloroflexota.
GCCGCAUUCGUCUAGGGGACUAGGACGCGGCCCUCUCAAGGCCGAAACACGGGUCCGAAUCCCGUAUGCGGCA